Molecule: ribosomal RNA, 491 nt
Filed under: uncultured bacterium
Lineage: Bacteria
Description: partial 16S ribosomal RNA
Rfam family: Bacterial small subunit ribosomal RNA
Source: RNAcentral
AGUGAACGCUGGCGGUAGGCCUAACACAUGCAAGUCGAACGGCAGCACAGUAAGAGCUUGCUCUUACGGGUGGCGAGUGGCGGACGGGUGAGGAAUACAUCGGAAUCUACUUUUUCGUGGGGGAUAACGUAGGGAAACUUACGCUAAUACCGCAUACGACCUACGGGUGAAAGCAGGGGAUCUUCGGACCUUGCGCGAUUGAAUGAGCCGAUGUCGGAUUAGCUAGUUGGCGGGGUAAAGGCCCACCAAGGCGACGAUCCGUAGCUGGUCUGAGAGGAUGAUCAGCCACACUGGAACUGAGACACGGUCCAGACUCCGACGGGAGGCAGCAGUGGGGAAUAUUGGACAAAGGGCGCAAGCCUGAUCCAGCCAUACCGCGUGGGUGAAGAAGGCCUUCGGGUUGUAAAGCCCUUUUGUUGGGAAAGAAAAGCAGCAGGUUAAUACCCCGCUGUUCGGACGGUACCCAAAGAAUAAGCACCGGCUAACUUCGU